GUUAAUGCCAGUUGGUCUCCACUGCACAUGUAAGCAAGGAGGGUUGUGGGAAACAGGAGGUUUGUGGCAACAGUAGGGUCGCAGUUCAGAGAGGAGACCUGGAAGUGAUGAGAUGGGAUCAAUGGGAGAUGCUUCCAAACCUUGGACUGGAUUCUGGAACCUUGGGCCUGCCAUCUGCUGAUUCUGCCACUACAUGAUCUUCUUGAUUUGAUCUUUAGACUGUACCCUGACCAUCCAUUGCCUGCUGUUACUGUCAAUGUGUGCCUUCCAGGAGUCAAACUGGUCAAAAGAACUUCAAGACUGUCAGGAGUGGUUGCUACUUGAGUGUAAGAAGACUGCAUCCAUGGGCAAACCUCUCUGUAAAUAACGGAGUAUCCUACAAUCUUCCCAUUUGUAUUCCGU
Hyla sarda is the source of this 402-nucleotide long non-coding RNA. RefSeq lists it as uncharacterized. NCBI's taxonomy places the organism in Eukaryota, Metazoa, Chordata, Amphibia, Anura, Hylidae. The transcript is spliced from 3 exons. The record is from RefSeq and is a predicted model, not a curated record.